RNAcentral lists this ribosomal RNA (963 nucleotides) under Phycisphaerales bacterium. RNAcentral's name for it is "bacterial SSU rRNA". It matches the Rfam family "Bacterial small subunit ribosomal RNA", at positions 1 to 959 of the family's 1533-position model. The record is from RNAcentral. Lineage: Bacteria; Pseudomonadati; Planctomycetota; Phycisphaerae; Phycisphaerales.
AAACUGAAGAGUUUGAUCCUGGCUCAGAUCGAACGCUGGCGGCGUGGCUAAGGCAUGCAAGUCGAACGGACUCCCGGAUGGGUAACCUGAAGGGAAGUCAGUGGCGAACGGGUGAGUAAUAGAAGGAUAACGUACCCUGGACUCGGGGAUAGCGGCGGGGCUUCGGCUCCUUUGCGAAAGUGCCGGUAAUACCCGAUGAACCCUCGGAACCGCAUGGUUCUGCGGGCAAAGUUCCGGCGGUCCGGGAUCGGUCCUUCUCCUAUCAGCUAGUUGGUGGGGUAACGGCCUACCAAGGCAACGACGGGUAGGGGGCGUGAGAGCGUGGCCCCCCACAUCGGGACUGAGACACUGCCCGGACACCUACGGGUGGCUGCAGCAACGAAUCUUCCGCAAUGGGCGAAAGCCUGACGGAGCGACGCCGCGUGCAGGAGGAAGUCCUUCGGGAUGUAAACUGCUGUCAGGGGCUGGAAACACUGAUCGGCCCCAGAGGAAGCCCCGGCUAACUACGUGCCAGCAGCCGCGGUAAUACGUAGGGGGCGAGCGUUGAUCGGAAUCACUGGGCUUAAAGGGCGUGCAGGCGGAAUGGAAGGUCUUCCGUGAAAGCCCCCGGCUCAACCGGGGAACUGCGGGGGAAACCAUCAUUCUUGAGGCAGGUAGAGGCGACUGGAACGUGUGGUGGAGCGGUGAAAUGCGUAGAUAUCACACGGAACGCCGGUGGCGAAAGCGGGUCGCUGGGCCUGUCCUGACGCUGAGACGCGAAAGCGUGGGGAGCAAACAGGAUUAGAUACCCUGGUAGUCCACGCCGUAAACGAUGCGCACUAGAUACGAGAGACUCUGACGUCGAUCGUGUCGAAGGAAAACUAUUAAGUGCGCCGCCUGGGGAGUACGGCCGCAAGGCUAAAACUCAAAGGAAUUGACGGGGGCUCACACAAGCGGUGGAGCAUGUGGAUUAAUUCGAAGCAA